Molecule: ribosomal RNA, 393 nt
Filed under: uncultured bacterium
Lineage: Bacteria
Description: partial 16S ribosomal RNA
Rfam family: Bacterial small subunit ribosomal RNA
Source: RNAcentral
AUACGGAGGAUGCAAGCGUUAUCCGGAUUUAUUGGGUUUAAAGGGUGCGUAGGCGGUUUGCUAAGCGGGAGGGGAAAUGCCGGCGCUCAACGUCGGAAGUGCCUCCCGAACUGGGGGACUGGAAUGACUCUGCCGUGGGAGGAAUGUGUAGUGUAGCGGUGAAAUGCUUAGAGAUUACACAGAACACCGAUUGCGAAGGCAUCUCACGAAGGGUUGAUUGACGCUGAGGCACGAAAGCGUGGGGAUCAAACAGGAUUAGAUACCCUGGUAGUCCACGCAGUAAACGAUGAUGGCUAACCGCUGGUUUUUUCGGAUCAGUGGCCAAGCGAAAGCGAUAAGCCAUCCACCUGGGGAGUACGACCGCAAGGUUGAAACUCAAAUGAAUUGACGGGG